Molecule: long non-coding RNA, 1250 nt
Organism: Perca fluviatilis (European perch)
Lineage: Eukaryota; Metazoa; Chordata; Actinopteri; Perciformes; Percidae
Exons: 2
Source: RefSeq, a predicted model, not a curated record
GAGCUGAGAUACGCUGGACUGGGUCGAGAGGCUCUGGUCUGGGUUAGGUAGAUAGGAUGAGACAGUGACUGGGCAGGGGGCCUGCUGUGGGCACAUGCCGCCACAACAGGGGCCAAGGCAGCCAUGACCAAUGGUUUUGAGAGAACCAUGGCAAAGCGGGGGUGACGGGCACCUGAGCCGGGAGGUACCAGAGGGUACGAUGGCCAAGCUGCUCACAGGGACAGAGAUGGACAGAGGGCAGACUGAGACAAAGGAUAAGGGACCUGUCCUGAAAAUGCCUGUCCACUGGGAUCCAUUUUGUGCUGUGUGUAACCCCACCCAGUGCAUAGGGACACGUACACAUGCUCACACAUAGGCGUUUGUGCAUAAGUAGGCACAACACACAUUCAUACCCUCCACCCACACACUGUUCCCCAAAAGAGCCUAUGUUGACCUCUGAACUGGGGUGUGUGUGUCUCUCUCUCUCUCUCUCUCUCUCUCUCUCAGCAGGAUCUUGAUCAUCCACCACUCCGUCCUUGUGUUCCUCAGUCCCUCUGCUGAAAAAAGGCCUCACGCCACCACUGGCCUCGGAAACACACAACAUAUUUUGAACACACACAGCCUUUAAACACACAGCCAGCAGGGACAUUCACGGCUUCAGAAAGGACGCCUUAACCGAAAGGUACUCUGAAUGUAUGGAUGCUGGAAUGUUUAUCGCUUCCCACGUGUGCUCGUGCUCAUAUAUGUGCGUCCUUGUGCUUGUGGUAGCAGUGUAUGAGAUACAAAACAGAACAGCAAAACUCAAUUCAUAUGGCAAUAAUGUUUUGAAGAAAUACCUCAUUUACUUAGGUUUGCUAAAGGACUACAUCAUGAUUCCUUCAUUGUGAAAUGCAAUAUGUUUCAAACCAUCAAGACUCUUUCUAGAGGUGUGGCCAAUCUCAGUAAAUGCCAUAAGAAGCUUGGUCAGGAGAAGAUAAACCCAAUGACUUCAAUGAUUCUGAGAGCAUGAUGCGACAACAAAAUAAUUUGGUCUGAAUGCCAAGUGAACAUUGGUGCUAUUGUGUACUAUCAGUGCUAUAAAGAUAAGGAAUACCAUCCCCACAGUGAAUCGCAUUGGUUGCAGCAUCAUGCUGUAGGCACGGCUGUCAGCAGCAGGGACUGGGAGACUGGUCAAGACUAGAGUGGGAGCAGGCCAAGUGUCCUUGAGUAGCCCUGCCAAAAUCCCAGUGUUGUGCUUUAUUUGUACAAAACAAUAAAAGAUUGUGUGAAAA